Molecule: ribosomal RNA, 253 nt
Filed under: uncultured bacterium
Lineage: Bacteria
Description: partial 16S ribosomal RNA
Rfam family: Bacterial small subunit ribosomal RNA
Source: RNAcentral
UACAGAGGAGCCAAGCGUUGUCCGGAUUGACUGGGCGUAAAGCGCACGCAGGCGGACGCGCGCGUGGGGUGUGAAAUCUGGCCGCUUAACGGCCAGGCGCCAUCCCAUACGGCGCGUCUGGAGCAAUGCAGAGGUCGGUGGAAUUGCCGGUGUAGCGGUGAAAUGUGUAGAGAUCGGGAGGAACACCGGUGGCGAAGGCGGGUCUCUGGGCAUCUCCUGACGCUGAGGCGCGAAAGCGUGGGGAGCAAACGGG